UACGAAGGGGGCUAGCGUUGCUCGGAAUUAUUGGGCGUAAAGAGCGUGUAGGCGGCCGUACAGGUCAGCUGUGAAAACUCGAGGCUCAACCUCGAGACGUCGGUUGAAACCGUACGGCUAGAGUCCGGAAGAGGAGAGUGGAAUUCCCGGUGUAGCGGUGAAAUGCGCAGAUAUCGGGAAGAACACCCGUGGCGAAGGCGGCUCUCUGGGACGGUACUGACGCUGAGACGCGAAAGCGUGGGGAGCAAACAGG
This 253-nucleotide ribosomal RNA is filed under the name uncultured bacterium. RNAcentral's name for it is "partial 16S ribosomal RNA". It matches the Rfam family "Bacterial small subunit ribosomal RNA", at positions 524 to 776 of the family's 1533-position model. The record is from RNAcentral.